This 255-nucleotide ribosomal RNA is filed under the name uncultured bacterium. RNAcentral's name for it is "partial 16S ribosomal RNA". It matches the Rfam family "Bacterial small subunit ribosomal RNA", at positions 333 to 580 of the family's 1533-position model. The record is from RNAcentral.
AUAGUCCUACGGGGCGCAGCAGUAGGGAAUCUUCCACAAUGGACGAAGGUCUGAUGGAGCAACGCCGCGUGAGUGAAGAAGGGUUUCGGCUCGUAAAGCUCUGUUGGUAGUGAAGAAAGAUAGAGGUAGUAACUGGCCUUUAUUUGACGGUAAUUACUUAGAAAGUCACGGCUAACUACGUGCCAGCAGCCGCGGUAAUACGUAGGGUGCAAGCGUUAUCCGGAUUUAUUGGGCGUAAAGGGCUCGUAGGCGGUU